Molecule: transfer RNA, 65 nt
Filed under: Tettigades opaca
Lineage: Eukaryota; Metazoa; Arthropoda; Insecta; Hemiptera; Cicadidae
Description: tRNA-Met
Source: RNAcentral
CAAAAGAUAAGCUAAUUAUAAGCUAAUGGGUUCAUACCUCAUUUAUGGACGUAUUCCUCUUUUUA